Molecule: unclassified non-coding RNA, 284 nt
Filed under: plant metagenome
Description: partial contains small subunit ribosomal RNA, internal transcribed spacer 1, and 5.8S ribosomal RNA
Rfam family: Eukaryotic small subunit ribosomal RNA (bases 1-53)
Source: RNAcentral
GGAAGUAAAGUCGUAACAAGGUUUCCGUAGGUGAACCUGCGGAAGGAUCAUUAUUGUAUAACCGAGGUGCGAGGGCUGUCGCUGACCCGAAAGGUCGUGCACGCCCGAGUGCCCUCACACACAUCCAUCUCACCCCUAUGUGCACCACCGCGUGGGUCCCCCUUUGGCUUGUUCGGAGGGGGGCUUACGUUUUCACACAAACUUUGUAUGCAGUGUAGAAUGUAUUUUCUGUUUUUGCGAUCACGCAAUCAAUACAACUUUCAACAACGGAUCUCUUGGCUCUC